This 305-nucleotide ribosomal RNA is filed under the name uncultured bacterium. RNAcentral's name for it is "bacterial SSU rRNA". It matches the Rfam family "Bacterial small subunit ribosomal RNA", at positions 338 to 635 of the family's 1533-position model. The record is from RNAcentral.
CCUACGGGGCGCAGCAGUAGGGAAUCUUCCACAAUGGGCGAAAGCCUGAUGGAGCAACGCCGCGUGGGUGAAGAAGGUCUUCGGAUCGUAAAAGCCUGUUGUUAGAGAAGAAAGUGCGUGAGAGUAACUGUUCACGUUUCGACGGUAUCUAACCAGAAAGCCACGGCUAACUACGUGCCAGCGGCCGCGGUAAUACGUAGGUGGCAAGCGUUAUCCGGAUUUAUUGGGCGUAAAGGGAACGCAGGCGGUCAUUUAAGUAUGAUGUGAAAGCCUUCGGCUUAACCGGGGAAGUGCGUUGUGAACUG